RNAcentral lists this ribosomal RNA (253 nucleotides) under uncultured bacterium. RNAcentral's name for it is "partial 16S ribosomal RNA". It matches the Rfam family "Bacterial small subunit ribosomal RNA", at positions 524 to 776 of the family's 1533-position model. The record is from RNAcentral.
UACGUAGGGGGCAAGCGUUGUCCGGAUUUAUUGGGCGUAAAGAGCGUGUAGGCGGCUAGAUAGGUCCGUUGUGAAAACUCGAGGCUCAACCUCGAGACGCCGGUGGAAACCGUCUGGCUAGAGUCCGGAAGAGGAGUGUGGAAUUCCUGGUGUAGCGGUGAAAUGCGCAGAUAUCAGGAAGAACACCUAUGGCGAAGGCAGCACUCUGGGACGGUACUGACGCUGAGACGCGAAAGCGUGGGGAGCGAACAGG